This 381-nucleotide unclassified non-coding RNA is filed under the name uncultured bacterium. RNAcentral's name for it is "contains 16S-23S intergenic spacer region". The record is from RNAcentral.
UCCGGUUUGGCACCGGCAGUCUUCCCAGAGUCCCCGGCAUGACCCGCUGGUAACUGAGAACAAGGGUUGCGCUCGUUGCGGGACUUAACCCAACAUCUCACGACACGAGCUGACGACAGCCAUGCAGCACCUGUGUUACGGCUCCCUUUCGGGCACCCCUCCAUCUCUGAAGGGUACCGUACAUGUCAAGGGUAGGUAAGGUUUUUCGCGUUGCAUCGAAUUAAUCCACAUAAUCCACCGCUUGUGCGGGUCCCCGUCAAUUCCUUUGAGUUUUAGCCUUGCGGCCGUACUCCCCAGGCGGGGCACUUAGUGCGUUAGCGACGGCACGGGAGGAGUCGACACCUCCCACACCUAGUGCCCAUCGUUUACGGCGUGGACUAC